UACGUAGGGGGCGAGCGUUGUCCGGAUUUACUGGGCGUAAAGAGCGUGUAGGCGGCCAUACAGGUCCGUUGUGAAAACUGGAGGCUCAACUUCCAGACGUCGACGGAAACCGUGUGGCUAGAGUCCGGAAGAGGAGAGUGGAAUUCCUGGUGUAGCGGUGAAAUGCGCAGAUAUCAGGAAGAACACCAAUGGCGAAGGCAGCUCUCUGGGACGGUACUGACGCUGAGACGCGAAAGCGUGGGGAGCGAACAGG
RNAcentral lists this ribosomal RNA (253 nucleotides) under uncultured bacterium. Its description in RNAcentral is "partial 16S ribosomal RNA". It matches the Rfam family "Bacterial small subunit ribosomal RNA", at positions 524 to 776 of the family's 1533-position model. The record is from RNAcentral.